Molecule: microRNA precursor, 112 nt
Filed under: Polistes canadensis
Lineage: Eukaryota; Metazoa; Arthropoda; Insecta; Hymenoptera; Vespidae
Description: microRNA pca-mir-33 precursor
Gene: pca-mir-33
Rfam family: mir-33 microRNA precursor family (bases 30-95)
Source: miRBase by way of RNAcentral
UGUUUCUUUUGAAGUAUGCUUACCUGUUACGAGUGUGCAUUGUAGUUGCAUUGCGUGAAAUACAACUAUGCAAUACUUCUACAGUGCAACUCCUGUGGCAGGCCAAAGUACC